CCUACGGGUGGCAGCAGUGAGGAAUAUUGGUCAAUGGACGAGAGACUGAACCAGCCAAGUAGCGUGAAGGAUGACGGCCCUAUGGGUUGUAAACUUCUUUUAUGUGGGAAUAAAAUGUUUCACGUGUGGGAUUUUGUAUGUACCAUAUGAAUAAGGACCGGCUAACUCCGUGCCAGCAGCCGCGGUAAUACGGAAGGUCCGAGCGUUAUCCGGAUUUAUUGGGUUUAAAGUGAGCGGAGGUGGAUUGUUAAGUCAGUUGGGAACGUUUGCGGCUCAACCGUAACAUUGCAGUUAAAACUGGCAGUCUUGAGUUCGCUAGAGGUAGGCGGAAUUCGUGGUGUAGCGGUGAAAUGCUUAGAUAUCACGAAGAACUCCGAGUGCGAAGGCAGCUCACUGGACUGCAACUGACGCUGAGGCUCGAAAGUGUGGGUAUCGAACAGGAUUAGAUACCCCAGUAGUC
RNAcentral lists this ribosomal RNA (460 nucleotides) under uncultured bacterium. RNAcentral's name for it is "partial 16S ribosomal RNA". It matches the Rfam family "Bacterial small subunit ribosomal RNA", at positions 338 to 795 of the family's 1533-position model. The record is from RNAcentral.